Molecule: ribosomal RNA, 497 nt
Filed under: uncultured bacterium
Lineage: Bacteria
Description: partial 16S ribosomal RNA
Rfam family: Bacterial small subunit ribosomal RNA
Source: RNAcentral
GAUGAACGCUGGCGGCGUGCCUAAUACAUGCAAGUCGAGCGAACAGACGAGGAGCUUGCUCCUUUGACGUUAGCGGCGGACGGGUGAGUAACACGUAGGUAACCUACCUAUAAGACUGGGAUAACUUCGGGAAACCGGAGCUAAUACCGGAUAAUAUUUCGAACCGCAUGGUUCGAUAGUGAAAGAUGGCUUUGCUAUCACUUAUAGAUGGACCUGCGCCGUAUUAGCUAGUUGGUAAGGUAACGGCUUACCAAGGCAACGAUACGUAGCCGACCUGAGAGGGUGAUCGGCCACACUGGAACUGAGACACGGUCCAGACUCCUACGGGAGGCAGCAGUAGGGAAUCCUCCGCAAUGGGCGAAAGCCUGACGGAGCAACGCCGCGUGAGUGAUGAAGGUCUUCGGAUCGUAAAACUCUGUUAUUAGGGAAGAACAAACGUGUAAGUAACUGUGCACGUCUCGACGGUACCUAAUCAGAAAGCCACGGCUAACUACGUG